This 250-nucleotide ribosomal RNA is filed under the name uncultured prokaryote. RNAcentral's name for it is "partial 16S ribosomal RNA". It matches the Rfam family "Bacterial small subunit ribosomal RNA", at positions 524 to 773 of the family's 1533-position model. The record is from RNAcentral.
UACGGAAGAUGCGAGCGUUAUCUGGAUUUAUUGGGUUUAAAGGGAGCGCAGGCGGGCUUUUAAGCGUGACGUGAAAUGUGGAUGCUCAACAUCUGAACUGCGUCGCGAACUGGUGGCCUUGAGUGAGUACGACGUGCACGGAAUUCGUGGUGUAGCGGUGAAAUGCUUAGAUAUCAGGAAGAACUCCGAUUGCGAAGGCAGUGCACGAGUCCUUUACUGACGCUAAAGCUCGAAAGUGCGGGUAUCGAAC